This is a long non-coding RNA of Brassica napus (rape), 2302 nucleotides long. RefSeq lists it as uncharacterized. Lineage: Eukaryota; Viridiplantae; Streptophyta; Magnoliopsida; Brassicales; Brassicaceae. The transcript is spliced from 5 exons. The record is from RefSeq and is a predicted model, not a curated record.
AUGAGCCGUAUGCUUAGGUGAGACUAACCACCUCAAAAUGGCUCACCAUUGUAGAAAACCUCAAAACAAAGCCGAAUACGCCCAUUUAUUGGGCAGGUAGAGCUAUCCGCAGCAGGGUUAGAGUCACUUAGAUCAGAACUCUCUGAGUUUGCAGAAAGAGAAGCUUACCUCAAAGCCCAGGUUGGGCAGCUCUGCCUGUUGAACCACCUCCAGUAGACGAUGCUGAAGUAGAUGACUGGCUUCCUCGGUUUGUUGCCCUUCAAGGACCUUGUCUUUUCUUCUAUUUACUAUCAACAGACUUGAGCCCUCAAGAUUCUACUUUGCUAGCGGAUACUGUUGAAGUUGGUUCUUUGCUAAGCUACACAAGAGAGUUCGAUGAAACACAUCAUUGCUUUUAUAUCUUAACCCGUCAAGGUCUAAGGUGGAUUCUUGGUUGUCGGUUUUGCGCCAUGACUGUUGGUAGAUUGAGGAUUGUACACUGCUCUCUAUAGUUUUCAUUGUUCUAUGUACUGUGUACAAAAUGCUUCUCUGCAGAUGUAGCUAUAGACUAUAUGUUACUACUUUGUUAUGAGUUAGUUGGUGAACUGAACUUCUUUGUGUUGGAGGUUAGGGGGAACAACAUGCGUGGUCUUGGGCUUAUGUGUUAGAAAUGUAUCAGUACAAUUCGAUUAUAAUAAUUGUUUGACGUAUUUGUUAACAAAUCUGGGGGUGUAGCUCAUAUGGUAGAGCGUUUGCUUUGCAUGCGAGAGGCACGGGGUUCGAUAUCCCGCACCUCCAUUUUUUUAAAUGCAAUUUUGCUCAUUGUUUUAGACUUAUAGAGAGGGUAUUAGUUACUUCAGGCGAAAGAAAAUGGGAACUUUUCUCUCUUUCCAUUUGCCUAUACUAACAAUGCCUAUACUAACAAUGCCUUUCCUUAUGAUUUUCCAUUGAAUCCAAGUCCAAUCUGAAUAUUUCUUGGAAUAAUGGUCAUGUUGUGAGGUAUACAAUCUUGGAACGGGUAAUGGCACCUCGGUUCUAGAAAUGGUCUCUGCCUUUGAGAAGGCAUCAGGAAAGAAAAUGAUGGUCGGACGACGUCCUGGAGACGCUCAAUUUGUUUACUCCUCUACAUAGAAAGCAGAACGAGAGCUAAAUUGGAAGUAAGUUAGAGUUUUAUUUUGUCAACAGUUAUAUAAAGUAGAGGAAUUAUAAUAACUCGGAAGAUAUGACAAUCUAGUUGUUAGAUUUGUGAACGGAAAACAUGAACAAAUGCCUCAAAUACACGCACAACAUUGUCAAUCUAUGGAACUAGGCCAGUGAUAAUCCUUACGGCUACGAAACCUAUAAUGGCUCCUUAUAAUUCUCUCCCUUUUUCUGCAUUAAUUUUUCUUUACAAACACAUGAAGAAAUGCUGAUAAGAACCUCAAAUUUUACAAGGGAAUUGAGGAAAUUCAUGUACUACAGAAAACCCACAUUUAAAUCGUCAAUUAAACUCUUAUUAAUUUAUGUCUCGACAAUGUUCUAAUUUUAAAUACAGAAAGCCCAAAUGUAUUCUUUUUUUUUUUUUGGCGGAAAAGUCUCCAUAUUUUAUUAACUUCUUUCUAACAAAUUGAUUCUUGAGAUCAACCUGGUUGGAAGAGAGUGAACAUGGAAGAAAACAGUUUGACGAGAUCGGGCUUCUUUCGCAAGAAGGUCCGUUCGUGAGUUUAAAUCUCUAGAAAUAAAACUGAUAGAAAAGUAUGAAAAUUUAGAACUAAUAGAGCGAAAUUCAUCUAACUCAGCCAAUAAUGCUGGCCAUUCUUCAUAAUCUUGUUCAUCCUGGAGGAGUUUUGACUAGCUGAAGGCAGUCGGUUUUGAAAGACAUGGUUUGGUGGCCUAGAAGUAAGACAGAGUUCAUAGCCAGAAGAGGGUGCGAAAUUCUGCCUGGAUUGGAGAGACUGUUUGGUUACUACCGAAUGAACCAAACGAUUCUCUUCCUGCUUUGUCUUUGAAAUGAAAACCUCCUCCUAAGAUUCGAGCUUGCGCCACGAGGCGUCGACUCUGCAGGUGAUCCUUUGGAGAUCCACGGUAUCAGGCUGGGGAGAGGUUAGGCGUACGGAUUCCUCGUUAUCGCGCGGUUCUUGAGCUAUCUGGGCGAACCCAAAUGUAUUCAGGCGCCCAAAAUAAUAGCUUAUUGGCAAACUGUAAUGUUUAGUAUUUUAAACUAUGAAUCAUUAUGGGCUUAAGUCUAAAUUUUAGUACUCGUGUGAAAUGCCCAAGAAUAGUUUAAGCAUGAUUCUAAAUGACUUUUCUAUCAAAUUUUACAAAUCUUACAUCUUUACAGUAA